CCUACGGGGGGCAGCAGUAGGGAAUAUUGGACAAUGGGGGCAACCCUGAUCCAGCCAUGCCGCGUGUGUGAAGAAGGCCCUCGGGUUGUAAAGCACUGUCAGUGAGGAAGAACGCCUGGUGGUUAAUACCCAUCAGGAAAGACAUCACUCACAGAAGAAGCACCGGCUAACUCCGUGCCAGCAGCCGCGGUAAUACGGAGGGUGCGAGCGUUAAUCGGAAUUACUGGGCGUAAAGCGCGCGUAGGUGGCUUGAUAAGCCGGUUGUGAAAGCCCCGGGCUCAACCUGGGAACGGCAUCCGGAACUGUCAAGCUAGAGUGCAGGAGAGGAAGGUAGAAUUCCCGGUGUAGCGGUGAAAUGCGUAGAGAUCGGGAGGAAUACCAGUGGCGAAGGCGGCCUUCUGGACUGACACUGACACUGAGGUGCGAAAGCGUGGGUAGCAAACAGGAUUAGAUACCCUGGUAGUC
This 465-nucleotide ribosomal RNA is filed under the name Vreelandella stevensii. RNAcentral's name for it is "partial 16S ribosomal RNA". It matches the Rfam family "Bacterial small subunit ribosomal RNA", at positions 338 to 795 of the family's 1533-position model. The record is from RNAcentral. Lineage: Bacteria; Pseudomonadati; Pseudomonadota; Gammaproteobacteria; Oceanospirillales; Halomonadaceae.